RNAcentral lists this ribosomal RNA (474 nucleotides) under uncultured organism. Its description in RNAcentral is "partial 16S ribosomal RNA". It matches the Rfam family "Bacterial small subunit ribosomal RNA", at positions 330 to 796 of the family's 1533-position model. The record is from RNAcentral.
CGUACACUCCUGCGGGAGGCAGCAGUGGGGAAUAUUGCACAAUGGGCGCAAGCCUGAUGCAGCCAUGCCGCGUGUAUGAAGAAGGCCUUCGGGUUGUAAAGUACUUUCAGCGGGGAGGAAGGCAAUACGGUUAAUAACCGUGUUGAUUGACGUUACCCGCAGAAGAAGCACCGGCUAACUCCGUGCCAGCAGCCGCGGUAAUACGGAGGGUGCAAGCGUUAAUCGGAAUUACUAGGCGUAAAGCGCACGCAGGCGGUCUGUCAAGUCGGAUGUGAAAUCCCCGGGCUCAACCUGGGAACUGCAUUCGAAACUGGCAGGCUUGAGUCUUGUAGAGGGGGGUAGAAUUCCAGGUGUAGCGGUGAAAUGCGUAGAGAUCUGGAGGAAUACCGGUGGCGAAGGCGGCCCCCUGGACAAAGACUGACGCUCAGGUGCGAAAGCGUGGGGAGCAAACAGGAUUAGAUACCCGUGUAGUCC